AUGGGAAGAACAUGUGUGUUUGUUCAUCAUGGGGACAAAGACGCCUUUUUGAAAGGCAAUAAAGAACCGGACCCGGAUGAGCUAGACAUUGUGUUUGAUAGUAGUCCUAGCUAUGCGGAGCUCUUGCAACAAGUUAGGAAAGAUUUGAAUUGGAUGGACCCUAGUGAUAUCAUUGAGUUGGAGGGAAGGCAUAACGUUGGUUUUGGAAUGCACAUCCGUUGGAAGACAAUGCGUGUCAACUCGGAGCAAUGUUGGGUUGCAACGAAGAAGGUUGAGUCAAGUUUGCAUUUGGACUUGAACCGGAACCCCUCCCCUUUGGUUGCUAGUAGCCCCCCACCCUUGAAGCAAGAUGAAAUUGUUGAACCUCUUUUGACCCAAGAAGUGAGGCCAACAUUGAGCCCGUGUAGAAACAACCAAGAUGAAUCUUUGCAAGAGGACAAUGAUGAGUAUGCGGACGAUGACAAUGAAGUUGAUCUCCAUGACAACAAUGUGGGUGAUCUCGACAAAUAUCAUUUGCAAGAGACAAUGGACCAUUCCAUCCCUUUUUCCCGUGCAUAUGCAUCGGACUCGGAUGACGAUGGUCCCGAUGAACAAGUUGAUGCGGAGGGGUUCACGGUGAAGGAGGCCGAAGCUUUCGAGAAGGUAUUUGGUCGGGAUCAUCGGACUACAUUGUUCAAGGAUAUUAGUCUCGCGGAUGAAGCCGUGGUAGAAGGUGGCCAAUGUGUAGCUCUUGGGGUUAGGCCAAGCUCUCACCGUGAUUUGGUAGACGACAAGAACCGGAUUGCUAAAGGUUCUAAGUUCGACAACUUGUUGGAUUUGAAGAUGUGGCUCGACAACUACUCGGUUACGCAUUAUCGUCCACACAAGGUGGUGCACUCGGACGUCAAUGUGCGCUACACGGUUGCAUGUGCAUGUGAAGAUGAAAAGGAGGUCCAACUUGGACUUACAAGAGGCCGUGGUGGUGGUAGAGGUCGUGGAAAGGAGGUCCAACAAGGAGUGGCAAGACGCCGUGGCGGUUGUCCGUGGAUUGUGCGUGCAAGACCAUGGAAAGGAGGUCCUACUUGGCAUGCAGUGAGUUGUGUGCCAACUCACAUGUCCCAAGGCAAAAGGGUGGAUGGCAAGAUUGUGUCCCAAGACCACAAACAACUCACUUCCGAGUCCAUCGCUUACAGGCUCUCGAACUCAAUAUCCACACUUCCAACAAUGAGCGUCCAACAUGUCAUUGACCUUGUGAAAGCCAUCUUUCAUUACAAGGUGAAAUACGGCAAGGAAUGGAAGGCGAAGCAAGCCGCAUUUAAGAUGUUGUAUGGUACAUGGGAGGAAGCAUACAACCGAAUCCCGAGGUUGUUGUUAGCCAUGGCCGCGACAAACCCGGGCAUGGUUCAUGUGGUCGAGCCUCAUGGGCACCAAACAACGGUUCAUGAAGGAAGGAAAGUCAGAGUAUUUGGCCGUGCUUUUUGGGUGUUCGAGCAAUGUGUGAGGCCUUUCGAACAUUGUAGGCCGGUCAUCGCAAUUGAUGGCACGUUCUUGACCGGACAAUACAAGGGCACCUUGUUGGUUGCGAUAGCAAGUGAUGCCAAUAACCGGGUGUUGCCAUUGGCAUUUGCUUUGGUUGAGGUGGAAAACAAUGACAACUGGGAGUGGUUUCUGCAUCUUUUGAGGACGAAGGUGUUACCCGCUCAAAGGGAAAUUUGUGUCAUAUUGGAUCGGAAUCAAGGAAUUCUUAACGCCGUGGAGAUUGACAUUCCCGGGCAUGCUCUGUUGCACCAUCGAUGGUGCAUGAGGCACUUUUGUUCGAACUUCUAUAGGGCAUGUGGCCUUAAGGAGUUGGCCGAUGAUCUUCAAGAUUGUUGUCUCGCUUUCUCCGAUAAGCGCUUCGCCACUUUGUACAACAAAUUCCUCGCACACAAAAAACUUGAUCCCGGGGGUCAAGAGUUUCUCAAUAGGCACAUUCAAUACCGGAACAAGUGGGCACGUGCUUUUGAUGAAGAUGGCCGGAGAUACGGUCAAAUGACAAGCAAUAUGGCCGAAUGCUUCAAUAGGGUGCUCAAAGGUGCAUGUGGAUUACCCGUGACGGCAAUAGUUCAAUACACAUUUUACAAGAUGAAUGCAUACUUUGUAAAGUACUCGAUGGAAACCGAUGCACAGAUAGCGGGUGAGAACCCACGAAAGUACAAGUACAAGCUCCCACCCAAAGUUGAUGAAUGGUUGCUAUUUCAAUCACGGAAGGCGGACUCAGAAGAAGCUAUAUUAUAUGACAAUGAGGAGUGGAAGUACGAAGUGAAAGAGCCAGGAGGAACCACAAACGAUGGCCGGCAACAUGGAGGUCGGGCUUUCAAGGUGUCGUUAACACAAUGUGAUUGCACUUGCGGGAGGCCAUUGUUGCUUCAUCUCCCAUGCUCACAUUUGUAUGCCGCCGGCCACGUUAGGAAUGUGGACAUCAAUCACCCACGCACCAUGAGGGAGUCCGAGUUCUCAAUCAUGACGGUCAAGAAAACAUGGGCUCCCCGCUUUCACCCAUACUUUGACCAAUCACAAUGGCCGGAGUAUCAUGGAGUUCAACUAUGGCCGGAUCCGGAGUUGAAGGUUGUUAAACGGGGUUGA
Molecule: ribosomal RNA, 2604 nt
Filed under: Triticum aestivum (bread wheat)
Lineage: Eukaryota; Viridiplantae; Streptophyta; Magnoliopsida; Poales; Poaceae
Description: partial small subunit ribosomal RNA
Source: RNAcentral